RNAcentral lists this small RNA (637 nucleotides) under Histoplasma capsulatum var. duboisii H88. Its description in RNAcentral is "Histoplasma capsulatum H88 hypothetical RNA". The record is from RNAcentral. Lineage: Eukaryota; Fungi; Ascomycota; Eurotiomycetes; Onygenales; Ajellomycetaceae.
ACCACACUCUAAGCAUCAGAUACCUCUCAUUCCACCAAGCUGAAACUCUUCAUCCUCGCGCACCAUCUUGCUCGCUCAGAAUGGCUACCUCUGUGGAAAAAAUUCGGAUUUCUUAAUGCUGAACAAGUUAUACGCCUGUAUAAGACAUUAAUUGCCAAUGUAAAGCCGACUCAACCAGCUAUGUUGGAAUCAGCAGUUGCGUCUCCAAUAAAUGUCAAAUACUAUGCAUAGCAGGAAAAUAUCUUUCAGCUAGCUGCCAAUCUACCUGAGGGGAUUAUGAUAAUGUCAAUCAAGGCAUUACAAACACCCACAUUGUUGUUACAACCAAUCAAUGAACCAGCAAACAGCUGGGCAGCUAUUCCAAGAGUGUUGUGACUCCCAUAGCAAGCUGGACUCAAGAUAUUUGGCAUGGCGGGAUGAGACAAUCGAGUAUUAAGUUAUCUUGUCUGUAUCUUCUCUCUCUCUCUCUCUCUCUCUCUUUUGUUUAUUUAUUUAUUUAAAAUCUCAUUCUGUCAAUGGAUCAUUUUUCAUGUAUGAAUGGAUGGACAUAGCCAUGCAAGGCACUGACGGCAGAGUUAUUGGGUGGGUAACUGCCAUACAAGGCUUUGAAUUCUAUAUCAACCUAUAUACAAUGGCC